Molecule: long non-coding RNA, 869 nt
Organism: Haliotis rufescens (red abalone)
Lineage: Eukaryota; Metazoa; Mollusca; Gastropoda; Lepetellida; Haliotidae
Exons: 4
Source: RefSeq, a predicted model, not a curated record
UACGUGUUCUGUAUAGUAACCUUUCUGGUUUCAAGAAGGGGCGCAACAAGUGGCGUGAUCUCCGGCAGAAUAGGUCAGCCCCCCUCCUCAAGAACUCCGCACAUGGGAGUGAGGAAGUCACUACUGCUUGUGUUGUGCUAGCCGACAAUACGAUACGUGUGUUGUGCCCUUAAACCUACAAUGGUCGGAAGUCUACAAUAUUCAUGAGUGGGCGUGGCUUGUGUAUGCACGUGACACUAUCUUCCGCAAAGCUGUUGAUGUCUAACGAACGCAUCGCUGUCUCGGCUGUUAUUGCGCGAUACGAUGUUUCACUCACAAUCUGCACAUCAGAUAAUACAAGCUGAGCAUCUAAUUGGAUCUAAUUAGAUAUGAGCACAUGCUCAAGAUGGAAGAUCUGUCGAAAAGUAUGAAUGACAUGAAAUUAAAAAAACCCAGCAAAAACUGGUGGCUUCCUUGGCGCAUCAACGGAAACCCUUAAAACUACAGAAGGUCUAAAGUCUACAAUGAUGGGGUGGCCCAUUCCUGGACCCCCCCAGGCAGUCAUGAGCUGUUGCAUAGGCCCCUCCUGAUCCAUUGACCUUGAUGAUGCACAACCCCAUCUAGACUGAAAAAUAUCAUUCACUCUCUCUCCCAUUUCAGAAAAAAUGGGCGUCAGUGUGCAUCUCAGAGGUUCUGCCAGCUUACCAGAAAAAAUGGGCGGCUUCCUCGGCGCGUCAAGGCGACAGUCAGUGUGCACCUCAGAGGUUCUGCCAGCUUGCCAGGUGAGCUUCAAACAGCCCAAGGCACCCUAGGAAACUGGUCAAAAAUCAAAUCCACCUUCUUUUUCUCUCUAUCUUUUUUUAAAGGACUUGUGUAGACUUAAGACCUUC